AUUGAACGCUGGCGGCAUGCCUUACACAUGCAAGUCGAACGGUAACGGGCCUUCGGGUGCCGACGAGUGGCGAACGGGUGAGUAAUACAUCGGAACGUGCCCGAUCGUGGGGGAUAACGAGGCGAAAGCUUUGCUAAUACCGCAUACGAUCUACGGAUGAAAGCAGGGGACCGCAAGGCCUUGCGCGGACGGAGCGGCCGAUGGCAGAUUAGGUAGUUGGUGGGAUAAAAGCUUACCAAGCCGACGAUCUGUAGCUGGUCUGAGAGGAUGAUCAGCCACACUGGGACUGAGACACGGCCCAGACUCCUACGGGAGGCAGCAGUGGGGAAUUUUGGACAAGGGGCGCAAGCCUGAUCCAGCCAUGCCGCGUGCAGGAUGAAGGCCUUCGGGUUGUAAACUGCUUUUGUACGGAACGAAAAGCCUUCUUUUAAUACAGGAGGGUCAUGACGGUACCGGAAGAAUAAGCACCGGCUAACUACGUG
This 482-nucleotide ribosomal RNA is filed under the name uncultured bacterium. Its description in RNAcentral is "partial 16S ribosomal RNA". It matches the Rfam family "Bacterial small subunit ribosomal RNA", at positions 30 to 507 of the family's 1533-position model. The record is from RNAcentral.